CCCGCUGAACUUAAGCAUAUCAAUAAGCGGAGGAAAAGAAACCAACAGGGAUUGCCUCAGUAACGGCGAGUGAAGCGGCAAAAGCUCAAAUUUGAAAUCUGGCUCCAUGCGGAGCCCGAGUUGUAAUUUGGAGAGGACACUUCGGGUGCGGCCACGGCAUAAGUUCCUUGGAACAGGACGUCAUAGAGGGUGAGAAUCCCGUCUUUGGCUGCUGGACCGCGCCCAUGCGAAGUUCCUUCGACGAGUCGAGUUGUUUGGGAAUGCAGCUCUAAGUGGGUGGUAAAUUUCAUCUAAAGCUAAAUAUUGGCCGGAGACCGAUAGCGCACAAGUAGAGUGAUCGAAAGGUUAAAAGCACCUUGAAAAGGGAGUUAAAUAGCACGUGAAAUUGUUGAAAGGGAAGCGCUUGCAACCAGACUCGGUCGUGGGGGCUCAGCGGGCAUGCGUGCCCGUGUACUCCCCCAUGCUCCGGGCCAGCAUCAGUUCUGGCGGUUGGUUAAAGGCCUCUGGAAUGUAUCGUCCUCCGGGACGUCUUAUAGCCAGGGGCGCAAUGCGGCCAGCCGGGACUGAGGAACGCGCUUCGGCACGGAUGCUGGCAUAAUGGUUGUAAGCGGCCCGUCUUGAAACACGGACCAAGGAGUCUAACAUCCACGCGAGUGUUCGGGUGUCAAACCCGUGCGCGCAGUGAAAGCGAACGGAGGUGGGAGCCCGCAAGGGUGCACCAUCGACCGAUCCUGAAGUCUUCGGAUGGAUUUGAGUAAGAGCGUGGCUGUUGGGACCCGAAAGAUGGUGAACUAUGCCUGAAUAGGGUGAAGCCAGAGGAAACUCUGGUGGAGGCUCGCAGCGGUUCUGACGUGCAAAUCGAUCGUCAAAUUUGGGUAUAGGGGCGAAAGACUAAUCGAACCAUCUGGUAGCUGGUUCCUGCCGAAGUUUCCCUCAGGAUAGCAGUAACGUUUUCAGUUUUAUGAGGUAAAGCGAAUGAUUAGAGGCCUUGGGGUUGAAACAACCUUAACCUAUUCUCAAACUUUAAAUAUGUAAGAAGCCCUUGUUACUUAAGUGAACGUGGGCAUUAGAAUGGAUCGUUACUAGUGGGCCAUUUUUGGUAAGCAGAACUGGCGAUGCGGGAUGAACCGAACGCGAGGUUAAGGUGCCGGAAUGCACGCUCAUCAGACACCACAAAAGGUGUUAGUUCAUCUAGACAGCCCGACGGUGGCCAUGGAAGUCGGAAUCCGCUAAGGAGUGUGUAACAACUCACGGGCCGAAUGAACUAGCCCUGAAAAUGGAUGGCGCUCAAGCGUGCUACCCAUACCUCGCCGUCGGGGUAGAAACGAAGCCCCGACGAGUAGGCAGGCGUGGAGGUUUGUGACGAAGCCUUGGGAGUGAUCCCGGGUCGAACAGCCUCUAGUGCAGAUCUUGGUGGUAGUAGCAAAUACUCAAAUGAGAACUUUGAGGACUGAAGUGGGGAAAGGUUCCAUGUGAACAGCAGUUGGACAUGGGUUAGUCGAUCCUAAGACAUAGGGUAGUUCCGUUUGAAAGCGCGCCCUAGUGCGCCGUUUGUCGAAAGGGAAGCCGGUUAAUAUUCCGGCACCUGGAUGUGGAUUCUCCACGGCAACGUAACUGAACGCGGAGACGUCGGCAGGAGUCCUGGGAAGAGUUCUCUUUUCUUCUUGACGGCCUAUCACCCUGAAAUCGGUUUGUCCGGAGCUAGGGUUUCAUGGCCGCGCAGAGCCCCGCACCUUUGCGGGGUCCGGUGCGCUUCUGACGACCCCUUGAAAAUCCGCGGGAAGGAAUAGUUUUCACGCCAGGUCGUACUCAUAACCGCAGCAGGUCUCCAAGGUGAAAAGCCUCUAGUU
Non-coding RNA from Coccidioides immitis RMSCC 2394, 1850 nucleotides. The record is from Rfam. NCBI's taxonomy places the organism in Eukaryota, Fungi, Ascomycota, Eurotiomycetes, Onygenales, Onygenaceae.